CCAAUAGCGUAUAUUAAAGUUGUUGCAGUUAAAAAGCUCGUAGUUGAAUUUCGGGAUCAGUUGGUCGGUCGUGCCUCGGUACGUACUGGUCAAAUUGAUUCCUACCUUCUGACGAACCACGAUGUCAUUAAUUUGGUGUCGUGGGAAAUCAGGACUGUUACUUUGAGAAAAUUAGAGUGUUUAAAGCAGGCUCGCGCUUGAAUACAUUAGCAUGGACUAAUGAAAUAGGACGUUUGAUUCUAUUUUGUUGGUUUCUAGGAUCGACGUAAUGAUUAAUAGGGAUAGUUGGGGGCAUUAGUAUUCAAUUGUCAGAGGUGAAAUUCUUGGAUUUAUUGAAGACUAACUACUGCGAAAGCAUUUGCCAAGGAUGUUUUCAUUAAUCAAGAACGAAAGUUAGGGGAUCGAAGACGAUCAGAUACCGUCGUAGUCUUAACCAUAAACUAUGCCGACUAGGGAUCGGAUGAUGUUAAUUUUUUAAUAACUCAUUCGGCGCCUUACG
RNAcentral lists this ribosomal RNA (499 nucleotides) under uncultured Glomeromycotina. Its description in RNAcentral is "partial small subunit ribosomal RNA". It matches the Rfam family "Eukaryotic small subunit ribosomal RNA", at positions 591 to 1092 of the family's 1831-position model. The record is from RNAcentral. Lineage: Eukaryota; Fungi; Glomeromycota.